Molecule: ribosomal RNA, 446 nt
Filed under: uncultured bacterium
Lineage: Bacteria
Description: bacterial SSU rRNA
Rfam family: Bacterial small subunit ribosomal RNA
Source: RNAcentral
GAUGAACGCUGGCGGCGUGCUUAACACAUGCAAGUUGAGCGAAGCACUUAUCAUUGACUCUUCGGAAGAUUUGAUAUUUGACUGAGCGGCGGACGGGUGAGUAACGCGUGGGUAACCUGCCUCAUACAGGGGAAUAACAGUUAGAAAUGGCUGCUAAUGCCGCAUAAGCGCACAGGACCGCAUGGUCUGGUGUGAAAAACUGAGGUGGUAUGAGAUGGACCCGCGUCUGAUUAGGUAGUUGGUGGGGUAACGGCCUACCAAGCCGACGAUCAGUAGCCGGCCUGAGAGGGUGAACGGCCACAUUGGGACUGAGACACGGCCCAGACUCCUACGGGAGGCAGCAGUGGGGAAUAUUGCACAAUGGGGGAAACCCUGAUGCAGCGACGCCGCGUGAAGGAAGAAGUAUCUCGGUAUGUAAACUUCUAUCAGCAGGGAAGAAAAUGACG